UGACUUUCUACGCAUCUCACAUAUAUCGAGAAGGAAAUCUUGUUGCGGACAAUUUUGCUAACAUGGGCUUGUCUUCUCCAUCUUUAACAUGGCAUGAUUCUCCUCCGAUGGCGGUUUAGACCUUCAUGUUUGGUUCUAGAGGGGUUAGGUUUCAUGUCCCCCCCUCUUUCUUUGUAUCAUUCUCAUUUUUUGUUUCUAGAAGGGUAAGGUUUAUGUCCCCCCUUCUUUCUAGUGUAUUCCUUUUUGUUAUCUCUGUUUUUUGGAGGGGUAAGGUUUAUGUCCCCCCCUGACUAGGUGUACCUUGUUUUUUCGUUAUCAAUAAAAUUACCCUCGUACCGU
This is a non-coding RNA of Malus domestica (apple), 339 nucleotides long. NCBI's taxonomy places the organism in Eukaryota, Viridiplantae, Streptophyta, Magnoliopsida, Rosales, Rosaceae. The record is from RefSeq and is a predicted model, not a curated record.